This 253-nucleotide ribosomal RNA is filed under the name uncultured bacterium. RNAcentral describes it as "partial 16S ribosomal RNA". It matches the Rfam family "Bacterial small subunit ribosomal RNA", at positions 524 to 776 of the family's 1533-position model. The record is from RNAcentral.
UCCGAAGGGUGCAAGCGUUACUCGGAAUUACUGGGCGUAAAGCGUGCGUAGGUGGUUUUUUAAGUCCGUUGUGAAAGCCCUGGGCUCAACCUGGGAAUGGCAGUGGAUACUGGAAAGCUAGAGUGCGGUAGAGGGUAGUGGAAUUCACGGUGUAGCAGUGAAAUGCGUAGAGAUCGGGAGGAACACCAGUGGCGAAGGCGGCUACCUGGACCAGCACUGACACUGAGGCACGAAAGCGUGGGGAGCAAACAGG